This 309-nucleotide ribosomal RNA is filed under the name uncultured soil bacterium. RNAcentral describes it as "bacterial SSU rRNA". It matches the Rfam family "Bacterial small subunit ribosomal RNA", at positions 26 to 330 of the family's 1533-position model. The record is from RNAcentral.
AGAUUGAACGCUGGCGGCAGGCCUAACACAUGCAAGUCGAGCGGUAGAGAGGUGCUUGCAUCUCUUGAGAGCGGCGGACGGGUGAGUAAUGCCUAGGAAUCUGCCUAGUGGUGGGGGAUAACGUUCGGAACGGACGCUAAUACCGCAUACGUCCUACGGGAGAAAGGCGGGGGACCUUCGGGCCUCGCGCCAUUAGAUGACGCCUAGGUCGGAUUAGCUAGGUUGGUGAAGGUAAUGGCUCACCAAGGCGACGAUCCGUAACUGGUACUGAGGAGGAUGAUCAGUCACACUGAACGUGAAGACGACGGU